GGGGGUGUAGCCAAGUUGGUAAGGCAUCGGAUUUUGAUUCCGUUUAUCGGUGGUUCGAAUCCAUCCGCCCCUGCCA
RNAcentral lists this transfer RNA (76 nucleotides) under Caudoviricetes sp. Its description in RNAcentral is "tRNA-Gln". It matches the Rfam family "tRNA". Rfam says of the family: Transfer RNA (tRNA) molecules are approximately 80 nucleotides in length. Their secondary structure includes four short double-helical elements and three loops (D, anti-codon, and T loops). Further hydrogen bonds mediate the characteristic L-shaped molecular structure. tRNAs have two regions of fundamental functional importance: the anti-codon, which is responsible for specific mRNA codon recognition, and the 3' end, to which the tRNAs corresponding amino acid is attached (by aminoacyl-tRNA synthetases). tRNAs cope with the degeneracy of the genetic code in two manners: having more than one tRNA (with a specific anti-codon) for a particular amino acid; and 'wobble' base-pairing, i.e. permitting non-standard base-pairing at the 3rd anti-codon position. Lineage: Duplodnaviria; Heunggongvirae; Uroviricota; Caudoviricetes. The record is from RNAcentral.